AUUUCUAGCAUAAAUUUUUAAUGUUUGUGAAAGUAAAAUAUAUUAAUUUAUAUGUUUAAAAUAAUUUUAUCAUAUUUAGUUAAAUGCAAUGUUUUAUUCUAAAAUGAUAGAUAUAACUAUAAAAUAGUAAAAUUUGAUAUAAUUUUUUUUCAUUUUAUAAAAGAUAACUGACUAUAUAUAUAUAUAUAUAUAUAUAUAUAUAUAUAAUGUAUAACAACAU
This 220-nucleotide long non-coding RNA is filed under the name Brassica rapa (field mustard). RNAcentral's name for it is "long non-coding RNA (BRAP_LNC001455)". Lineage: Eukaryota; Viridiplantae; Streptophyta; Magnoliopsida; Brassicales; Brassicaceae. The record is from RNAcentral.